Long non-coding RNA from Gavia stellata (red-throated loon), 336 nucleotides. RefSeq lists it as uncharacterized. NCBI's taxonomy places the organism in Eukaryota, Metazoa, Chordata, Aves, Gaviiformes, Gaviidae. The record is from RefSeq and is a predicted model, not a curated record. The transcript is spliced from 4 exons.
UGCAGCCAGUUGCUGUUAAUGAGCUGAGAAGCAGGCAGAGUUUGGAAAAAUCAGUGUGAUGGGACAGGAAGCAGAAACAAAGUUGAAGGUGGAGUUGGUGGCCUCGAUCAGCGGAGAGUUGGAGCAGACACAUCUCGGACAUAGAAAAGGAUGGCUGAAGAGAAUCUGAACAAGCAAUGAACAACAGUGGAUUAGACACAGACCUGGAAGAUGACAGUUCCACCUGUUCAGAUUCAGGGUAUGUGGAGAAGAGAAGGAAAAUUAAUCAAGCCAUCCAAAAAAUUGAACAGUACUUGAAUCAGAUACACAAGGACAGCAUAAAACUAACUGAAUGGA